Molecule: long non-coding RNA, 1265 nt
Organism: Patella vulgata (common limpet)
Lineage: Eukaryota; Metazoa; Mollusca; Gastropoda; Patellidae
Exons: 9
Source: RefSeq, a predicted model, not a curated record
CUCCAGUCAGAUCAGAUAAAAAUGGUGUGAAAACACAGGAGAGGAAAGGAAUCGUUAACUUUGGAUUUCCAGUUUCAAAACCACCUCAAUUCUUGUCUAACAAGCCGUCAAAGAACAAGAAAGCCGCUAAAAAGACGACAACGAGCAAAAAAACAAAAAAAGAAAACAGCAGCAAAUCAAAAACAAGUAAAUGUUCCGCUCAACAAAAUAAACCGGUGACGGUUCCGCCAGAUGCUAUAAUACUUUUAGAACAGAUCGUAGACGCUGCUGGAGGAGAUAAAGAUGAGUCGGAUGACGACAAUAGACGGAGUCGGUCAUGUAUCAGUAAGAAAGAGAAGAAAGUGGUAGAGAAACCAGUUAAAUUAGAAGAAGAAAUAAGACCGGUUAUAAAUACAGAAGAUACGAUCUAUGAUCAACCUUCUACCAUAUUUGAUGAUAAUAAAUACGAUGACACACCUGAGUUACCCCAGGUGGACUCCCAAUUACCUGAGUUACCUGUAUUCCCCACACCUGAACCACCGAAAGAACCCAAAACUCCACAAAGUAAACAACGCAGUCUCAUCUCGGCGCCUUCAUCUCUUAAAAGCAGUAAACUGGAUUCGGAUGACGAGAGUCGAGUACGACCCGAGUUUGAUAUUGGUGUUGUCAUGGAUGUACAUACUGACGAAUCAACACCCAAGCCUAAACCACAGUCAUGGUUACAAGGUAGAUUGGCUUUAUCUCAACAGUCAAGUAGAUUUGAGUUACCUAUGGAUAUGAAACUCUUAGAAUCUAUGUCACCAUUAGAGUAUUUACGGCGACAUUGUGUUAUAUCAACAAGAAGACAGAAUCUCUACCAGAAAAUGUUUGUAAAACAUAAAGAUAAAACAGGGGUUAUACUUUAUAAGGAUUUAGAGAAAGCGCUAAAUGAUGUAUUAAUAAAUGCUGUAAAUGCCCAGAGAUUGGAAUAUUUUAGUCAGUUAUUACAGAUACCAGAAGAUAUUAAACUAGAUUGUCGUCUGUUCUCUUGUAUAGCUGCUCUUAUAGAACGAUUAUUAUAUCCUGUAUUCUUAACGGAUGAUACGGCCGAUCUCCCAGGAUUCCAGAAAGAGAAAAUAGAAUGUGCUGAUUUCUGUGCUUUAGAUUGGAAGUUUCAUGGAGUAAAGGUCAACCCUCCAGUAGAAAGACUGUUAAAAUCUAUAGCAUAAAUAACUACCCAGUAUUAACAACGUAGUAUCACAGUCUGGGGGAAUAAAUGACCACCGAGUAUUCAUACGGUAUUGUCA